CGCUGGUCCGAUGGCAGUGGGUUAUCAGAACUUAUUAACAUUAGUGUCACUAAAGUUGGUAUACCACCCCCCCCCCACUGCUAAAUUUGACUGGCUAAA
This is an unclassified non-coding RNA of Cavia porcellus (domestic guinea pig), 99 nucleotides long. It matches the Rfam family "Y RNA". From Rfam's summary of the family: Y RNAs are components of the Ro ribonucleoprotein particle (Ro RNP), in association with Ro60 and La proteins. The Y RNAs and Ro60 and La proteins are well conserved, but the function of the Ro RNP is not known. In humans the RNA component can be one of four small RNAs -- hY1, hY3, hY4 and hY5. NCBI's taxonomy places the organism in Eukaryota, Metazoa, Chordata, Mammalia, Rodentia, Caviidae. The record is from Ensembl.